AUUAGUUUGGUUAAAUUGCUGUUUUUCUGGACUACUGCAGUAUUGAAGCUGAAAUUUGAGUUUCGUGGAUUUUCAUGAUGCAAUUUUUGGAGGAAGCUGGAUUUUGGACCUGAGAGUGAUUCACCAUCUUAGUACACAGGUUUUGGAACCUUGCUUCACCAUAUUUGAAGAUCGAAAAGUGAAAUUGACAUUGAGAUUGAAGGAAUUUGAGCUUAGGGGCUGAAUUUUAGUAUAUUAAUAGAAUUAUUGGUAUUGUUGUUUUAGUUCUUGGA
Molecule: long non-coding RNA, 272 nt
Filed under: Ananas comosus (pineapple)
Lineage: Eukaryota; Viridiplantae; Streptophyta; Magnoliopsida; Poales; Bromeliaceae
Description: long non-coding RNA (ACOM_LNC028346)
Source: RNAcentral